AACGAACGCUGGCGGCGUGCUUAACACAUGCAAGUCGAACGCGAAAGGGACUUCGGUCCUGAGUAAAGUGGCGCACGGGUGAGUAACGCGUAGAUAACCUGUCUUCAUGUCUGGAAUAAUACGCCGAAAGGGGUACUAAUACCGGAUAUUCUUGCUUUUUCAUAAGUUAUGCAAGCAAAGGUGGCCUCUGCAUAUGCUACUGCAUGAAGAGGGGUCUGCGUACCAUUAGCUAGUAGGUGGGGUAAUGGCCUACCUAGGCGACGAUGGUUAGCGGGUCUGAGAGGAUGAUCCGCCACACUGGCACUGGAACACGGGCCAGACUCCCACGGGAGGCAGCAGUGAGGAAUAUUGCGCAAUGGGGGAAACCCUGACGCAGCGACGCCGCGUGAGUGAGGGAAAGGCCUUCGGGUCGUAAAGCUCUGUCAAGAGGAAAGAAGUGUACAAUGGCUAAUACCUGUUGUAUUUGACGGUACCUCUAAAGGAAGCACCGGCUAACUCCGUGCCAGCAGCUGC
Molecule: ribosomal RNA, 513 nt
Filed under: uncultured bacterium
Lineage: Bacteria
Description: bacterial SSU rRNA
Rfam family: Bacterial small subunit ribosomal RNA
Source: RNAcentral